GCCAAAAUGGGAAGGGGAAAAGACUCAUAUCAACACAUCUUAAUAGGACACAUAGAUCUGGGAAAGUAUACCACUACUGGCCAUCUGAUCUAUAAAUAAGGUGGAAUCAACCAAAGAACCAUCAACAACUUGAAGAGGCUGCUCAGAUGAGAAAGGGCUACUUCACAUAUGCCUGGAUCUUGGAUACACUGAAAGUGAAAUGAUGAAACUUCAGUGAUGAACUAAUUAAAAACCAUUAUCUUCCUACUCAAAACACCAGUCUGUAACUACAUCCACAGUCCACAGAUCACCAAUCUACUGGGAUUUUUCAAGAUGAAACUUGCUGUCUCCUGCCUUUAGGGAAUGUGAAAUCAACAUUAUUUCUACCUUUAGGGGUUUCAAGAAUUUGCAAAAGACUUGAUUUGAAAGCAAGUGGCAGAGCCAGGACAAUGGUCUCUUCCAUCGACUAGACUAUGGUUGACUGCAGGUAACUGAAACCACGGAACACCAAACCACAGAUAAGGGAGGACUGCUGUUUCUCAUCUACAAGGUUUGAUUAAAUCAGUCCUUACUCUCAA
Long non-coding RNA from Eptesicus fuscus (big brown bat), 557 nucleotides. RefSeq lists it as uncharacterized. NCBI's taxonomy places the organism in Eukaryota, Metazoa, Chordata, Mammalia, Chiroptera, Vespertilionidae. The record is from RefSeq and is a predicted model, not a curated record. The transcript has 4 exons.